UACGUGAAACCGUUCAGGGGUAAACCUGAGAAACCCGAAAAGGUCGAAGGGGGAAAUUCAUUCGCGUCUCGCCGUCGGCGGGGGGCGGUCGUGCGACGGAAGACGCGCUCGCGCGCGUCAUCCGCGCCCUCCGCUUCCGGAUCCGGUGGCGAACGCGUGCACUUUUCUCCCGGUAGGACGUCGCGAUCCGUCGGGCGUCGGUCUACGGCUAGCGGUGGAGACCGGGCGCGCGCUUCGGCUCGCGCCAGGACCCGCAUGUCCCGGCCGACUCGCUCGACGGUAUGCGAACGGUCAAGGGCCGCUCAACAGGAGCGUUCGGCCCGUCGCAAGCGCGUCAGACGCAUCGGCGAUCGGACCUCGUGCCGGUUCCGAUCUCUGGCGACUGUUGGCGGCGGAGCUCUCGAACAGACCCCUGACCGAUCUGCGACGCUAUAGCUUUGGGUACUUUCAGGACCCGUCUUGAAACACGGACCAAGGAGUCUAGCAUGUGCGCGAGUCAUUGGGACAAACUAGACCCAAAGGCGCAAUGAAAGUGAAGGUCCGCCUCGCGCGGACUGGGGGAGGACGGGCGGUUCGCCCUCAAAAGCGGCCGCCCCGCACUCCCGGGGCGUCUCGUUCUCAUCGCGAGGAGAGGCGCACCGAGAGCGUACACGCUGGGACCCGAAAGAUGGUGACCUAUGCCUGGUCAGGACGAAGUCAGGGGAAACCCUGAUGGAGGUCCGUAGCGAUUCUGACGUGCAAAUCGAUCGUAAGAACUGUGUAUAGGGGCGAAAGACUCAUCGAACUUC
RNAcentral lists this ribosomal RNA (788 nucleotides) under Curculionidae sp. NZAC 03012754. RNAcentral describes it as "eukaryotic LSU rRNA". It matches the Rfam family "Eukaryotic large subunit ribosomal RNA", at positions 396 to 944 of the family's 3401-position model. Lineage: Eukaryota; Metazoa; Arthropoda; Insecta; Coleoptera; Curculionidae. The record is from RNAcentral.